This 156-nucleotide non-coding RNA is filed under the name uncultured Parabacteroides sp. Lineage: Bacteria; Pseudomonadati; Bacteroidota; Bacteroidia; Bacteroidales; Tannerellaceae. The record is from RNAcentral.
UCUAUGGCUGUUUAAAAGGGAAUUUGGUGAAAAUCCAAAGCAGUCCCCCGCUACUGUAACGUUCGGUUCUGUAAAGAAUUUAGGGAAUCUUCAUGCCACUGGUCUAUUCUGGGAAGGCAUCCUCAGAACGAAGUCAGGAAACCUGCCAAUAUAUGA